GACGAACGCUGGCGGCGUGCUUAACACAUGCAAGUCGAACGGACAGGCCCUGCUUUUGUGGGGUGCUCGAGUGGCGAACGGGUGAGUAACACGCGAGUAACCUGCCCCUGACUUUGGGAUAACUUCAGGAAACUGGGGCUCAUACCGGAUAGGAGCUCCUGCUGCAUGGUGGGGGAUGGAAAGAUUCGGCGGUUGGGGAUGGACUCGCGGCUUAUCAGCUUGUUUGUGGGGUAGGGGCUUACCAAGGCUAUGACGGGUAGCCGGCCUGAGAGGGUGACCGGCCACAUUGGGACUGAGAGACGGCCCAGACGCGUACGGGAGGCAGCAGGGGAGAAUAUUGCGGAACGAGGGGAAGCGAGAUGUGGCGAUGCUGCGUGCGGGAUAACGGCCUUCGGGUUGAAAACCGCUUUCGACUGUGACGAAGAGUGAGUGACGGUAAUGGGUAAGGAAGCACCGGCUAACUACGUG
This 468-nucleotide ribosomal RNA is filed under the name uncultured bacterium. Its description in RNAcentral is "partial 16S ribosomal RNA". It matches the Rfam family "Bacterial small subunit ribosomal RNA", at positions 28 to 507 of the family's 1533-position model. The record is from RNAcentral.